CAGGGUGUAAUAUAAUAUUGUUUUCGUUUACGUUGAAGGAUUUUUUGUGCAAUUCAAAACGCUCUGA
Molecule: transfer RNA, 67 nt
Filed under: Yunnantettix bannaensis
Lineage: Eukaryota; Metazoa; Arthropoda; Insecta; Orthoptera; Tetrigidae
Description: tRNA-Val
Source: RNAcentral